Molecule: ribosomal RNA, 261 nt
Filed under: uncultured archaeon
Lineage: Archaea
Description: partial 16S ribosomal RNA
Rfam family: Archaeal small subunit ribosomal RNA
Source: RNAcentral
UAGCCGUAAACGAUACUCGCUAGGUGUCGGCCACGGUGCGACCGUUGUCGGUGCCGUAGGGAAGCCGUGAAGCGAGCCACCUGGGAAGUACGGCCGCAAGGCUGAAACUUAAAGGAAUUGGCGGGGGAGCACAACAACGGGUGGAGCUUGCGGUUUAACUGGAUUCAACGCCGGAAAUCUUACCGGGACCGACAGCAACAUGAAGGCCAAGCUGAAGACUUUGCCGGAUUAGCUGAGAGGAGGUGCAUGGCGUAGUCGUGU